CCUACGGGAGGCAGCAGUGGGGAAUUUUGGACAAUGGGGGCAACCCUGAUCCAGCCAUUCCGCGUGAGUGAAGAAGGCCUUCGGGUUGUAAAGCUCUUUCGGCAGGAACGAAACGGUGAGCUCUAACAUAGCUCGCUAAUGACGGUACCUGAAGAAGAAGCACCGGCUAACUACGUGCCAGCAGCCGCGGUAAUACGUAGGGUGCGAGCGUUAAUCGGAAUUACUGGGCGUAAAGCGUGCGCAGGCGGUUGUGUAAGACAGGUGUGAAAUCCCCGGGCUUAACCUGGGAACUGCGCUUGUGACUGCACGGCUAGAGUAUGGCAGAGGGGGGUGGAAUUCCACGUGUAGCAGUGAAAUGCGUAGAGAUGUGGAGGAACACCGAUGGCGAAGGCAGCCCCCUGGGCCAAUACUGACGCUCAUGCACGAAAGCGUGGGGAGCAAACAGGAUUAGAUACCCUGGUAGUCCACGCCCUAAACGAUGUCGACUAGGUGUUCGGUGAGGAGACUCAUUGAGUACCGCAGCUAACGCGUGAAGUCGACCGCCUGGGGAGUACGGUCGCAAGAUUGAAACUCAAAGGAAUUGACGG
This 587-nucleotide ribosomal RNA is filed under the name uncultured beta proteobacterium. Its description in RNAcentral is "bacterial SSU rRNA". It matches the Rfam family "Bacterial small subunit ribosomal RNA", at positions 338 to 916 of the family's 1533-position model. Lineage: Bacteria; Pseudomonadati; Pseudomonadota; Betaproteobacteria. The record is from RNAcentral.